UGGGAACGUGCAUGUACACGGUGACGCCAGAUGAGGUCUGCAUCAUAGACAGACACCCGCAGCACGCUAAUGUGAUUUUCGCCGCUGGAUUCUCCGGUACUGGGUUCAAGCUGGCUCCGGUACUAGGGAAAGUGCUGGCGGAGAUGGUGUUGGGAUGCAAGACCUCCUACGAUACGACUCCAUUCAGCAUGCGGAGAUUCCAGGCGAAGUCACGGCUAUAAACAACGCGCUCGACCAGAAUGUGAUAUACUGAUUACUGAUUAAUGAUAAAUCAGUGGUGAUCGUCUUAACAAUCAUGUUAUUUUUAUUUUAAUUAGUAAGAUCUAUUACUAAUCCCUAUUUAUAAGUAACUGUAGUAAAGGUGUAAUGUUAAAGUUGAGGAAUUUUCAGCGAGAUGCAAUUUUUCGAGUAUACACUAACAGGGAUGUAAUCACGCGCCGACAUAACGCCUGUAGCUGUGUCGAUAGAUGUACGGCUAAGUAGGCAUGUACGCUAAGUAUAUGUAUACGCCGGAUGCGCGGCGGCAGCAUGUUUAUUAUGUAAAAUGUUCCCUGAUGGCGAUAGGAAAUACAGACAGCGUACGCACGUCUAUGAUUAAUAAUAAAAGAUACACGCCGGGAUUCCAUAGCA
Molecule: long non-coding RNA, 630 nt
Organism: Priapulus caudatus
Lineage: Eukaryota; Metazoa; Priapulida; Priapulimorpha; Priapulimorphida; Priapulidae
Exons: 3
Source: RefSeq, a predicted model, not a curated record